This is a long non-coding RNA of Esox lucius (northern pike), 1575 nucleotides long. The record is from Ensembl. Lineage: Eukaryota; Metazoa; Chordata; Actinopteri; Esociformes; Esocidae.
GUUCAACAUCGACUCCACCUCAAUGACUGUGAACAACACAGAUAUUUUUGCAGCAACUACGUUACCUCCAUCAUCUGCUGUAGUCACCCCUGUGGCAGAUACUACCACUUCAACAACUGGACAACCUCAUACUGUUCUCGUCACGGCUGCUACGACUGGACCCAGAAACACCACCACUACAUUGUUGUCUCCCUCAACAGUAUCAAAUAUAGCAUCAACCCUGGCCACACUAACUACCAGAACAUCUCCAACCACCACUACAACCAACCCACAAACAACCUCUCUUACAAUAUCUACAGCUGUGUCCAACAUCACAACAGCUUCUGUCAACACAACCAAAGCCGCCAAUACAACAACAACUACAGCUUCUGUCAACACAACCAAAGCUGCCAACACAACAACAACUACAGCUUCUGUCAACACAACCAAAGCUGCCAAUACAACAACAACGACUACAGCUUCUGUCAACACAACCAAAGCUGCCAAUACAACAACAACGACCACAGCUUCUGUCAACACAACCAAAGCUGCCAAUACAACAACAAUGAUCACAGCUUCUCCCUCAACAAGCUUGGGUGCUUCAACAGUCUUUCAAGGUACUCCUACAGCAACUAUUUUUCAACCUUUAACUGUGGCUGGUACCACCACUAGAACAACUGGACAACCUGUCACUGUUCCUACGACUGGACCCAGAAACACAACCACUACAUUUGGGUCUCCCUCAACAGCAUCAAAUGCAGCAUCAACACUGGCCACACUAACUACCAGAACAACUCCAACCACCACUACAACCAGCGCACCAACAACUACUAAAACCACAACUGCAACUACUACAACAACUACAUCAACUACAGCAACUACUAGGACAACCACCACAACUGCGCCUAUUCAACCUGCUCCAGUGGUGGUUUUCAUCAUACAACAACUUUAUGUCCCACAAUUAAGUAACCCUGCGAGUACAGAGUUCCAAACCCUUGCAUUAACUGUUAUUGCAGCGUUUGAUGUGAUCUACAAAACAAAAUACGGAAGCUUCUUCAUUAGGACGAUAGUUCUCGCAUUCACACCUAUUACCCGUUCCCGGAGUGCAGACACGCAGGCUGAGGUGAAGCUGGUGUUUAACCAGACCGCCGCACAACCGGUACCUCAACUUGCUGAAAUUGGGGACACGCUAAAGGCAGCUCUGAACAGUUCCAACAGUACCAUCGGCAACCUCACAGUGGUGUCAGACUCCAUCAAAGUUACAGUACUCACCUCAAAUACAACAGCUACUCCUGUCAUUACUUCCGCCAUCACAUCUACAACCCCUGCAACUACAACCACUAAAACUACAACCACUACAGCUGUUCCACUCAGUAUGGUGCCUGUGGUAUUCAGGUCCUUAGGGGAGACCUUCACCUCUGACCUAUCAAACUCAUCAACUCAGGCCUUUCAAAACCGAGCAUUACUCAUUAAAACUCAGGUAUGUCUCCUAAAAGGAUGAGAUGAGGACAAAGUCAGUGUCUUAACAAAUAGUCAAAUAGUCAACAGCAGGUUUUGCCUAAACUUCAUCUAUUUGUUUCUUUUGCUUCCAGCUUG